AGGCAGUGUAUUGUUAGCUGGCUGCUUUGGAUCAGUUCAGCAGCCGGGACUACCUGCCACC
RNAcentral lists this microRNA precursor (61 nucleotides) under Dasypus novemcinctus (nine-banded armadillo). Its description in RNAcentral is "microRNA dno-mir-449b precursor". Its record names the gene dno-mir-449b. Lineage: Eukaryota; Metazoa; Chordata; Mammalia; Cingulata; Dasypodidae. The record is from miRBase by way of RNAcentral.